Molecule: long non-coding RNA, 434 nt
Filed under: Mytilus galloprovincialis (Mediterranean mussel)
Lineage: Eukaryota; Metazoa; Mollusca; Bivalvia; Mytilida; Mytilidae
Source: RNAcentral
CAACUAUAGGUCACUGUACGGCCUUCAACAAUGAACAAAGCCCAUACCGCAUAGUCAGAUAUAAAAGGCCCCGAUAUGACCAUGUAAAACAAUUUAAACGAGGAAACUAAAGGCCUUAUUUAUAUAUAAAAAAAAAUUAACAAAAAAAAAAACAAAUAUGAUUCAAUAUGUAACACAUAAGCAAACGACAACCACCUGAAUUACAGGUUCCUGAAUUGGGACAGGCACAUACAUAAACAAUGUGGAAGGGUUAAACAUGUUAGUGGGAUCCCAACCCUCUCCCUUACCUGGGACAGUGGUACAUAUAACAGUACAACAUAAGAACGAACUAUAAAAAUCAGUUGAAAAAGGUUUAACUUAUCAGAUGGACAAAAAUACAAUUGGACGUGGCCGGGUUCUUGAACAUCCCGACAACAAAAAGACACUAGGAACAG